GCAGAGGCUGUAACAGAAGGCAGAGCAGAAGCCUGGUAGCGGACAGAGCCUUUAGGACAUUGCGAUCAUCACCGUCCGUGGUUUCGAAUGACCAAUGUGUACUUCCAGGGAAGGAAGAGUAGGACACGGAGGUCAACACAAUGGGCAAGACGAACUAAGAGAAGACCACUGCCUGACAUGAGCUUCUUGUUCCCUCUCCAUGGCACAGCCCCCGAAUUGCAUGGAAGCUGAAGGCGUGUUCCUUUGAAAACAACAAAGAACCUCCGUAGAGGGCAAUGCCUAGAAAGAGCACAUGCGAAGCUUCCGUAUUAUGGAGCUGGUGGCAGAGAACCGCCCUGAUAACCUCUCCACACCGAGC
Neofelis nebulosa (Clouded leopard) is the source of this 358-nucleotide long non-coding RNA. RefSeq lists it as uncharacterized. The record is from RefSeq and is a predicted model, not a curated record. The transcript has 3 exons. Lineage: Eukaryota; Metazoa; Chordata; Mammalia; Carnivora; Felidae.